This 2188-nucleotide small RNA is filed under the name Arabidopsis thaliana (thale cress). RNAcentral describes it as "unknown gene (AT1G33615)". Lineage: Eukaryota; Viridiplantae; Streptophyta; Magnoliopsida; Brassicales; Brassicaceae. The record is from RNAcentral.
AAAAAACAUAGCACACAACGUCCAGACGCAACUUCUAAAAACAGAAAACAAACUUUCACAGGAUUGUUUUUAACAAAAAAAUGUGAAUAAUCACAAUUGAUGACAAGAAAUUGUGUUGUGAUUGUUCCCUUAUUUCUUACUUUCUUAUCUACUUACUUUAUUAUAGCUUGUAUUAACUUAUAUAUUUGAAAGCACACGAGCAUUGUUUGCAGUUUAAAACAGGUUUUCUGAAGUAAGAGCAAAAGUUUCGAAUGCGCUUCAAUAUACUCAUGACUGACAAAGAGUUCAUCAUUAACUUAUUCAGGAGUUUCAGUUAUAAUCUCAGAAGAUAGCUCCGACCGGGUAUCAAAACUAGAGAAAAAGGUUAGUGCUUUAUAGCAUUGUGUGUUUUCUCAUAUUUCAGUUGUGUGGUUCUGUCUGUUUGAUGUAGUUAUUGUUCCUUAUUUUGUGUAUGAUAUCCUUUUAAUUGGCUUAAUUGAUGUGUAACUUGCUGGAAAAUUUUGUGUGAGUCUGCGGAUGUAGGAGUUGAUAAAGAGACUUGAAUAAGGUAAGCUUUCGUGAUGAAUUGGUAAAUCAUUUUCUAGAUUCUGAACCUUGACUUAUACUGAAACUCACGCCAUAAAAAGCACAAAUUCAACGUAUUAAGUGAAUAAGGUUUGAACUAAUAAUCCUUGAACAAUGGCUGGUGGAGUUGCACUGAGAGGUAAGAUAAUAUGAGCCGAGGAAACAACCAAAUGACGACAGGGAGGAUUCUGAUUUCAAGAUGAAGGAUUGCUUCCUCGGCUGCAAAGACGGUUUGACGACCACCAUUUAAUACAAGGUUUGAACUGGUGAUCUUUUCUCUCCAAGACUAUUCCCUUGGGAAGGUAUUUCUAAUUACCAGAUAAAGUCCAUGUAAGUCAUUCAGUUUAACCAGACAAUAACUAAUUCCCUCUCUGAUAAUUCUGCUGAUCAGCUUCUUUUUGUUUUUCUUGAUGCGAGAAUGAAUCUUAGUUCAAGUGGGUUACAAGGACCAAUAGCCUUUUCCUUUAGAGAUCUCUCCCUCCUCGAGUUAUCGUAAGUGUACAAAUGCAAGCCAUACAAACACACACUUUCCAAGAGCUUUCUUCAGUUGAAAUGGAACUUAUUGACAAACGGUUUGAAGAUGAAGGAUUGUUUGGCUGCAAAGAAAAUCAUUCAGUAGCCAACAAAGAAAUAACUUUGUGUGAAUCUGCUGAUGUAUCUAUUAAGGAGUUGAUAAAGAGACUUAAUGAAGGCCCAAAGUCUUGGCGUUGAGAACUUGAUGAUGAUAGAUAUUAUAAACUUGCAAAUAUUUGCAUUAUAUAUUCAGAAAACGAGAAGCAGGUAUUUAUCAUUUCUAUCUAGUAAUAAUUUAUAGUCCCCAAGUCACUAUAAGUCCUUGUUUUUCAUUUUUAGAUUGGGUAUGAAUUCAAUGGAGGCCAAUGCAAUGGAAAAGCUCCGACGUUUUCUUUAUGAUAUGAUUAACAAUGAUAGAGUCAUGUUCCGUUCCCAAAGUACUUGUUUUAUAAAUUGACUUUUUAAGGAUUCCUGUUUCACUGAUCAAGUGUUUUUUUACAGAAUCUCGCUUCGUUUUUUUCCUAUCUUGCUUUCCAUUAGUUUCUAAAAGUGCUUUCAGUCCAAUGUCUUGGCGUUGAGAACUCGAUGAUGCGAAAAAAGAGAAGCAUGUAUUUAUCAUUUCUAUCUGUUCACACCAUCGAAAGGAUAAAACCAAUGUAUAAAGUCAAUAAGGUUUGGACUGGUGAUCCUUGCUCUCCAAGACUAUUCUUUUGAAAGGAAUUCUACUGAUGAGCUUAGUUCAAGUGGAUUACAAGGACCAAUAGCUGUCUCAUUUAGAAAUCUCUCCCUUUUUGAGUCAUUGUAAGUAUACAAAUUCAAGCCAUACACACACACUACCAACCUCUUUCUUCACAUUAUAUAUAAGAGUCAUGUGCAUUGUUUUCCCAGGGAUUCAUAAAACAACAACCUAAGAAAGGGAUUUCUUUUGACAGACAUUUGAUAAUGUAUUUGUCUCUGACAUUUAUUUGUGUCACAUGAAUUUGAAAGGAAAUUACUUGACUGGGUUUGCCCCAAGAUCUCAUAGGAAAAAAACAAUGGCUAGUGAACUUGCACAGAGAGUGUAGAUGAAUAGAGCAUUUUUCACCCAUGUUCAGAUUCGUCGUGUGCCAAA